UUUUUUUUUUUUGUUAUUAGAAGUCUAAAAAAAUAAAACGCCUUAUUUAAGCAACAGAUCCUUUCUCACAUCAUUUAUCACCUUUUAUUUAAAAUUGGGGACCACUUUAAUAUCUUUUUAGGGGUAAAUUAGAAAAAAAAAUCCACAAAAAGACCACAUCCUUAAUCCUAGAUAAAUUUUAACUUUCUCUAUAUAAAUAGAAUGGAGGAAGAAUUAAUCAAUACUCAAUAGAAAAAAAUUUUCCGUUUGUUUGAUAAAUAAUAGGAAGAAGUUAAAAUAAAAUUUAUUUUUUUAUAAAUUAAAAUUGAAUACAAUUUUAUUUGACAAUAUUAAUUAUUUUAGUAACUUUUAACUAAUUUUUAGCUAAAUAUUUAUAGAUACCCCGCCCAUGAACAUAAAUAACAGUGAGUACAUUCAUUUUAGAUAGGUCGAGUAUUUUAUUCAAUAAACCAAAUACACAAAAGAGGGAAUCAUGAUGGUAUUGACUAAAAAUUGGAAACUUUCAUAUCAAUACAUAAAUUUAUUAAUUAAAGCAAUACAGUACACAUAAAACAACUUUAAAGAAGAUGAAGUAAUGUAAUAUAAAUUAGGAGAAUUCGAUCUCAAAAUACCAUUUGGUGUGAUCCUUUGUUCCCCUUAAAAUCCAAUAUUUGACAAUUCAUUUUGGGCACCUUGGGUCACGGUUGUAUCGGCUGCAUCGUGGAGGAUUUUUACGAUUUUUAUCAGGAAGGCAGUAGCGAUUCCCCCGACCGCAACCAAGAGUAGAACGGGGUUUUCCCGCUUCGCUAGCUACGCGUCUGGCGCUAUCUGCAAGCAUUCUGUUAGUCGCGGAGUCCAUCAUCAACUCUAAUUCCAUGUUGGUGUCUGCCAUGGAAAAGGAAAAGGAGUUGCUGCUAAUCAUUUCCUGGGGAGUACUGACAGCUCCCAGACAACUGCUUCUGCUCAUCAGAAUCAAAAUCACCACCACCGCUAGAGAAAGACUCCUCAUUCUGCCUUUUUUUUUAGUACUAUUUUCUAGUGUCGGUGUUUAUUUCAUAUGAAAAUACAGCUGGGAAGAGAGCUCUAAAUAGUAAAGUGGUGGUUUUUUGACAUUGACUUAUUGGCUGCAUUCGAAAUUGAUUUGGACCAAGAGAUAAUGGACAAUGAGUCCACCAUAUCCUUAUCUUUAAGAUUUUAUUUAAUGUAUUUAUGAGUGUAUUAUAACUAGUGUAAUUGAUUGGUGAAUAGAGUGAGUGAUUGAUCCCUUCAUGACUCUAUUUCACCCAUUUUCAUAACUUAGCAAUAAUAAUUAUUUGUGAGUGGUUGCCUAUA
RNAcentral lists this long non-coding RNA (1311 nucleotides) under Jatropha curcas. Its description in RNAcentral is "long non-coding RNA (JCUR_LNC000399)". The record is from RNAcentral. Lineage: Eukaryota; Viridiplantae; Streptophyta; Magnoliopsida; Malpighiales; Euphorbiaceae.